AGUGAACGCUGGCGGUAGGCCUAACACAUGCAAGUCGAACGGCAGCACAGUAAGAGCUUGCUCUUACGGGUGGCGAGUGGCGGACGGGUGAGGAAUACAUCGGAAUCUACUUUUUCGUGGGGGAUAACGUAGGGAAACUUACGCUAAUACCGCAUACGACCUACGGGUGAAAGCAGGGGAUCUUCGGACCUUGCGCGUUUGAAUGAGCCGAUGUCGGAUUAGCUAGUUGGCGGGGUAAAGGCCCACCAAGGCGACGAUCCGUAGCUGGUCUGAGAGGAUGAUCAGCCACACUGGAACUGAGACACGGUCCAGACUCCUACGGGAGGCAGCAGUGGGGAAUACUGGACAAUGGGCGCAAGCCUGAUCCAGCCAUACCGCGUGGGUGAAGAAGGCCUUCGGGUUGUAAAGCCCUUUUGUUGGGAAAGAAAAGCAGCAGGUUAAUACCCCGCUGUUCUGACGGUACCCAAAGAAUAAGCACCGGCUAACUUCGUG
This 492-nucleotide ribosomal RNA is filed under the name uncultured bacterium. RNAcentral describes it as "partial 16S ribosomal RNA". It matches the Rfam family "Bacterial small subunit ribosomal RNA", at positions 29 to 507 of the family's 1533-position model. The record is from RNAcentral.